This 233-nucleotide ribosomal RNA is filed under the name uncultured bacterium. RNAcentral describes it as "partial 16S ribosomal RNA". It matches the Rfam family "Bacterial small subunit ribosomal RNA", at positions 794 to 1030 of the family's 1533-position model. The record is from RNAcentral.
UCCACGCUGUAAACGAUGUGCACUAGGUGUUGGGGAUAGGAUCCUCAGUACCGUAGCAAACGCGUUAAGUGCACCGCCUGGGGAGUAUGCCGGCAACGGUGAAACUCAAAGGAAUUGACGGGGGCCCGCACAAGCGGUGGAGCAUGUGGUUUAAUUCGAUACGCGAGGAACCUUACCAGGGCUUGACAUAAUAAUGGCGGCAAUAGAGAUAUUGUUUUCUCUUCGGAGACAUU